This 91-nucleotide transfer RNA is filed under the name Candidatus Methanohalarchaeum thermophilum. It matches the Rfam family "tRNA". Rfam says of the family: Transfer RNA (tRNA) molecules are approximately 80 nucleotides in length. Their secondary structure includes four short double-helical elements and three loops (D, anti-codon, and T loops). The record is from Rfam by way of RNAcentral. Lineage: Archaea; Methanobacteriati; Methanobacteriota; Methanonatronarchaeia; Methanonatronarchaeales; Methanonatronarchaeaceae.
GGGCCCGUAGAUCAAUGGCAGAUCGCCACCUUUGCAACAAGAUAUCAAGCAAAAUAGGUGGAGGCUCUGGGUUCAAAUCCCAGCGGGUCCA